GACGAACGCUGGCGGCGUGCUUAACACAUGCAAGUCGAACGGAAAGGCCCCUUUGGGGGUACUCGAGUGGCGAACGGGUGCGUAACACGGGAGUAACCUGCCCUUGACUUCGGGAUAACUUCAGGAAACUGGGGCUAAUACCGGAUAGGAAUCCUUGCUGCAUGGUGGGGGUUGGAAAGCUUCGGCGGUUUUGGAUGGACUCGCGGCUUAUCAGCUUGUUGGUGGGGUAGUGGCUUACCAAGGCUUUGACGGGUAGCCGGCCUGAGAGGGCGACCGGCCACAUUGGGACUGAGAGACGGCCCAGACUCCUACGGGAGGCAGCAGUGGGGAAUAUUGCACAAUGGGCGGAAGCCUGAUGCAGCAGCGCCGCGUGCGGGAUGACGGCCUUCGGGUUGUAAACCGCUUUCAGCAGGGGCGAAGCUUGUGGUGACGGUACCUGCAGAAGAAGCACCGGCUAACUACGUG
This 465-nucleotide ribosomal RNA is filed under the name uncultured bacterium. Its description in RNAcentral is "partial 16S ribosomal RNA". It matches the Rfam family "Bacterial small subunit ribosomal RNA", at positions 28 to 507 of the family's 1533-position model. The record is from RNAcentral.